RNAcentral lists this ribosomal RNA (1367 nucleotides) under uncultured bacterium. RNAcentral's name for it is "partial 16S ribosomal RNA". It matches the Rfam family "Bacterial small subunit ribosomal RNA", at positions 28 to 1381 of the family's 1533-position model. The record is from RNAcentral.
GACGAACACUGGUGUGCUGCCUAAUACCUGAUAGGAGAACGCUAAAGGAGGAGCUUGCUUCUCCGGAUGAUUUGCAAACCGGUGGGAAACGCGUACGGAACCUGCCUGGUAGCUCAGGAUCACUAGUGGAAACUACUCCUAAUACCGCAUUGUAGUAUAUGUUGCAUCACAUUUGCUUAGGAGGUGAAGAUGUGUCACUAUCACAUGCACCUGCCUAGUAUAACCCAGCUGGCGGGGCAACGGCUCACCCAUGCCACGAUGCCUACCCUACCUGAGAGGGUGAUCCGCCGCACUGGUACUGAAACAUCUCCCAAACUCCUACGGAAAGCAGCAUGCGCCAAUCGUCAGCCGUGCACGGAAGACUGACCCACCUCCCUCACGUGAGCGAAUAAGGGUUUCAGAUCGUAAAGGUCUGUUGUAAGACAUCAACUAGUGCCAGAGGGUAAAGCUCUCACUGUGACCGCCUCCUACCCCAUAGGGACUGAUCACUACGUGCCAACUCCCGCGGUAAUACACUUGUCCCGAUCGCUGUCCGGAUUAAUUGGGCGUAUAGAGAGCGCACGCAGUUACAUAAGUCUGAAGUUAAAGGCUGUGGGCUUAACCUUAGUACGCGUUUGGAAACUGUUUAACUUGAGUGCAAGAGGGGAGAGUGGAAUUCCCUGUGUAGAGGUGAAAUGCGUAGAUAUAUGGAGGAACACCGGUGGCGAAAGCGGCUCUCUGGCUUGUAACUGACACUGAGGCUCGAAAGCGUGGGGAGCAAACAGGAUUAUAUACCCUGGUAGUCCACGCCGUAAACGAUGAGUGCUAGGUGUUAGACCCUUUCCGGGGUUUAGUGCCGCAGCUAACGCAUUAAGCACUCCGCCUGGGGAGUACGACCGCCAGGUUGAAACUCAAAGGAAUUGACGGGGGCCCGCACAACCGGUGGAGCAUGUGGUUUAAUUCGAAGCAACGCGAAGAACCUUACCAGGUCUUGACAUCCCUCUGACCGCUCUAGAGAUAGAGUUUUCCUUCGGGACAGAGGUGACAGGUGGUGCAUGGUUGUCGUCAGCUUGUGUCGUGAGAUGUUGGGUUAAGUCCCGCAACGAGCGCAACCCCUAUUGUUAGUCACCAUCAUUCAGAUGGGCACUCUAGCGAGACUGCCGGUAAUAAACCGGAGGAAGGUGGGGAAGACGUCAAAUCAUCAUGCUCCUUAUGACCUGGGCUACCCAGAUGUUACAUUGGUUGGUACAACCAGUCGCAAGGCCCGUGACCGCCAGCUAAUCUCAUAAACCCAACUCAGAUUGGAUUGAAGGUGCAACUCCCCAUCAUCAAUCCGAAUCCCUAGUAAUCCCCGACUAGCACGCCCAGCUGUAAUACUUCCCAGGCCU